This 1214-nucleotide ribosomal RNA is filed under the name Acinetobacter baumannii 25307_1. RNAcentral describes it as "bacterial LSU rRNA". It matches the Rfam family "Bacterial large subunit ribosomal RNA", at positions 1731 to 2925 of the family's 2925-position model. Lineage: Bacteria; Pseudomonadati; Pseudomonadota; Gammaproteobacteria; Moraxellales; Moraxellaceae. The record is from RNAcentral.
UAACUUCGGGAGAAGGUACGCUGUUGUUGGUGAUGGAACUCGCUUCCUGAGCUGACGACAGCCGCAGAAACCAGGCCGCUGCAACUGUUUAUUAAAAACAUAGCACUCUGCAAACACGAAAGUGGACGUAUAGGGUGUGAUGCCUGCCCGGUGCUGGAAGGUUAAUUGAUGGGGUUAGCGUAAGCGAAGCUCUUGAUCGAAGCCCCAGUAAACGGCGGCCGUAACUAUAACGGUCCUAAGGUAGCGAAAUUCCUUGUCGGGUAAGUUCCGACCUGCACGAAUGGCAUAAUGAUGGCGGCGCUGUCUCCAGCAGAGGCUCAGUGAAAUCGAAAUCGCUGUGAAGAUGCAGUGUACCCGCGGCUAGACGGAAAGACCCCGUGAACCUUUACUGCAGCUUGACACUGAACUUUGACCUUACUUGUGUAGGAUAGGUGGGAGGCUUUGAAGCUGGAACGCUAGUUCCAGUGGAGCCGUCCUUGAAAUACCACCCUGGUAAUGUUGAGGUUCUAACUCUGUCCCGUGAUCCGGGACGAGGACCGUGUCUGGUGGGUAGUUUGACUGGGGCGGUCUCCUCCUAAAGAGUAACGGAGGAGUACGAAGGUGCGCUCAGCGUGGUCGGAAAUCACGCGUAGAGUAUAAAGGCAAAAGCGCGCUUAACUGCGAGACCCACAAGUCGAGCAGGUACGAAAGUAGGUCUUAGUGAUCCGGUGGUUCUGUAUGGAAGGGCCAUCGCUCAACGGAUAAAAGGUACUCUGGGGAUAACAGGCUGAUACCGCCCAAGAGUUCAUAUCGACGGCGGUGUUUGGCACCUCGAUGUCGGCUCAUCUCAUCCUGGGGCUGAAGCAGGUCCCAAGGGUAUGGCUGUUCGCCAUUUAAAGAGGUACGCGAGCUGGGUUUAGAACGUCGUGAGACAGUUCGGUCCCUAUCUACCGUGGGCGCUGGAAAUUUGAGAGGAUCUGCUCCUAGUACGAGAGGACCAGAGUGGACGAACCUCUGGUGUACCGGUUGUGACGCCAGUCGCAUCGCCGGGUAGCUAUGUUCGGAAGGGAUAACCGCUGAAAGCAUCUAAGCGGGAAGCCUACCUCAAGAUAAGAUUUCCCUAGGACUUUAUGUCCUCUAAAGAGCCGUUCGAGACUAGGACGUUGAUAGGUUGGAUGUGGAAGCAUAGUGAUAUGUGAAGCUGACCAAUACUAAUUGCUCGUGAGGCUUGACUA